AGCGAAGUUAACACCAUGUAGGGGAGCAGGUGCCUUAAAGUCUGGCUUCGCCCCCAAAAGUGAGACAAAGUAAACGAAUACCUUUCAAUGUGGCAUUCAGCUCUGGAUUCCCACCACAGACCUGGACAGGAUUUUGAGCAAUUGUACUACUACUGAACCCAAGGAGGCUGUUGACCCUGCUUCCCCCCUAUGCCCAUCCCAAAAAACGAUCAGCAAGAGUCAUCAGAGGAGGAACACAAGGAGGUCAGUGAAAGAACUGUCCAGGGAAAGCCAGGAUCACUUUGAGACUCAGGACCCUGAUGGCGGCUGUGUAGAAGUGAGUCCAGUUCCUAGUCAGAAGCCAGGCUAGGCCUGAGGAGGCAGAUCCUAUGGAAGGAACCUGAACAUUCCCCCAGCCAUGGCACCUGCAGCAGCCAGACCCUCAAGGACAGGGCCUCUAUCAAAGGCUAAGCAGCUGGUUAACCUGAGGGGGAAGAAACAGAAAACUCAGGAUAACAUGUUUGCAGACCUCAUUGGAGCCUCCCAUACAACUCCAAAGACAAUGGCGAGGUGGAGGUUGGAGAGGGAAAAAGAAAUGGAGCUCUCCAGAGGCAGCACUACAAUUGCAAAGACAUUGUGGAGAAAGACAGGAUAUGCAGAGGCAAUAUAGAAGCAGAAUGCUCUGCAGCCGAGCAUGCUGCUACUGGGCCCACAGAUAAUCCUGUGCCCUAAACCAGGACCGAGCCAUGUUCUGCAGCCCCUGACAGUACAGGGAACUGGGAACACCAGCAUCUGCUCCCUGCUGUAACCCUGCAGCUGUGCUCCCAGAGGCCAUUCUCUUCUCAGGCUGAAGCUGAGGGCAGCGAGUACAAUUGCACCUGGAAGCCCAGUUUUUUUGAGCCAUCCAAUGCCCCUGAUAAGUUUGAGUCCCACCACUCAACACCAGAAGGCCCAAGAACAAGAAGAGGCAGAAGCAAGCUAUAUGCUUGUCUGUGACUUGGAGUCG
This is a long non-coding RNA of Mauremys mutica (yellowpond turtle), 985 nucleotides long. RefSeq lists it as uncharacterized. Lineage: Eukaryota; Metazoa; Chordata; Testudines; Geoemydidae. The record is from RefSeq and is a predicted model, not a curated record. The transcript has 4 exons.